GUAACGCGUAUGGAAUCUACCUUUUACAUUGGGAUAGCCCAGAGAAAUUUGGAUUAAUACCUUAUAGUAUGUAGAAACGGCAUCGUUUUUAUAUUAAAGAUUUAUCGGUAAGAGAUGACCAUGCGUUCUAUUAGUUUGAUGGUAAGGUAACGGCUUACCAUGGCUACGAUAGAUAGGGGCCCUGAGAGGGGGAUCCCCCACACUGGUACUGAGACACGGACCAGACUCCUACGGGAGGCAGCAGUGAGGAAUAUUGGACAAUGGGCGAGAGCCUGAUCCAGCCAUGCCGCGUGCAGGAAGACUGCCCUAUGGGUUGUAAACUGCUUUUAUACAGGAAGAAACACCUCUACGUGUAGAGGCUUGACGGUACUGUAAGAAUAAGGAUCGGCUAACUCCGUGCCAGCAGCCGCGGUAAUACGGAGGAUCCAAGCGUUAUCCGGAAUCAUUGGGUUUAAAGGGUCCGUAGGUGGACAAUUAAGUCAGGGGUGAAAGCCUAUAGCUCAACUAUAGAAUUGCCUUUGAUACUGGUUGUCUUGAGUUAUUAUGAAGUAGUUAGAAUAAGUAGUGUAGCGGUGAAAUGCAUAGAUAUUACUUAGAAUACCAAUUGCGAAGGCAGAUUACUAAUAAUACACUGACACUGAUGGACGAAAGCGUGGGGAGCGAACAGGAUUAGAUACCCUGGUAGUCCACGCCGUAAACGAUGGAUACUAGUUGUUCGGAUUUAUCUGAGUGACUAAGCGAAAGUGAUAAGUAUCCCACCUGGGGAGUACGUUCGCAAGAAUGAAACUCAAAGGAAUUGACGGGGGCCCGCACAAGCGGUGGAGCAUGUGGUUUAAUUCGAUGAUACGCGAGGAACCUUACCAGGCUUAAAUGUAGUGUGACAGAUUUGGAAACAGAUUUUUCUUCGGACACAUUACAAGGUGCUGCAUGGUUGUCGUCAGCUCGUGCCGUGAGGUGUCAGGUUAAGUCCUAUAACGAGCGCAACCCCUGUUGUUAGUUGCCAGCGAUUCAAGUCGGGAACUCUAACAAGACUGCCAGUGCAAACUGUGAGGAAGGUGGGGAUGACGUCAAAUCAUCACGUCCCUUACGUCCUGGCCUACACACCGGUGCCUACAAUGUUAGGGACAAAGAGCAGCCACUUUCGCGAGAAAGGAGCGAAUCUUAUAACCCUAUCCAAGGUUCCGAUCGGAAGUCGUGGCAACUCGACUCCGUG
Molecule: ribosomal RNA, 1213 nt
Filed under: CFB group bacterium
Lineage: Bacteria; Pseudomonadati; Bacteroidota
Description: bacterial SSU rRNA
Rfam family: Bacterial small subunit ribosomal RNA
Source: RNAcentral